GGGUUGUGAGGUUAAGCGACUAAGCGUACACGGUGGAUGCCCUGGCAGUCAGAGGCGAUGAAGGGCGUGCUAAUCUGCGAUAAGCGCCGGUAAGGUGAUAUGAACCGUUAUAACCGGCGAUACCCGAAUGGGGAAACCCAGUGUGAUUCGUCACACUAUCAUUAACUGAAUCCAUAGGUUAAUGAGGCGAACCGGGGGAACUGAAACAUCUAAGUACCCCGAGGAAAAGAAAUCAACCGAGAUUCCCCCAGUAGCGGCGAGCGAACGGGGAGGAGCCCAGAGCCUGAAUCAGCAUGUGUGUUAGUGGAAGCGUCUGGAAAGGCGCGCGAUACAGGGUGACAGCCCCGUACACAAAAGCGCAUGUGCUGUGAGCUCGAUGAGUAGGGCGGGACACGUGGUAUCCUGUCUGAAUAUGGGGGGACCAUCCUCCAAGGCUAAAUACUCCUGACUGACCGAUAGUGAACCAGUACCGUGAGGGAAAGGCGAAAAGAACCCCGGCGAGGGGAGUGAAAAAGAACCUGAAACCGUGUACGUACAAGCAGUGGGAGCACAGGUUUACCUGUGUGACUGCGUACCUUUUGUAUAAUGGGUCAGCGACUUAUAUUCUGUAGCAAGGUUAACCGUAUAGGGGAGCCGGAGGGAAACCGAGUCUUAAUUGGGCGUUAAGUUGCAGGGUAUAGACCCGAAACCCGGUGAUCUAGCCAUGGGCAGGUUGAAGGUUGGGUAACACUAACUGGAGGACCGAACCGACUAAUGUUGAAAAAUUAGCGGAUGACCUGUGGCUGGGGGUGAAAGGCCAAUCAAACCGGGAGAUAGCUGGUUCUCCCCGAAAGCUAUUUAGGUAGCGCCUCGUGAAUUCAUCUCCGGGGGUAGAGCACUGUUUCGGCUAGGGGGCCAUCCCGGCUUACCAACCCGAUGCAAACUGCGAAUACCGGAGAAUGUUAUCACGGGAGACACACGGCGGGUGCUAACGUCCGUCGUGAAGAGGGAAACAACCCAGACCGCCAGCUAAGGUCCCAAAGUCAUGGUUAAGUGGGAAACGAUGUGGGAAGGCCCAGACAGCCAGGAUGUUGGCUUAGAAGCAGCCAUCAUUUAAAGAAAGCGUAAUAGCUCACUGGUCGAGUCGGCCUGCGCGGAAGAUGUAACGGGGCUAAACCAUGCACCGAAGCUGCGGCAGCGAACGUAUCACCCAAGACAACUUUACGGAGUUGACGAUUGACGGAGCGAAGCGACGUCAAAGCGUUCAUUAAAGUCGAGUUGGCUUAGGGAUACGUUCGUUGGGUAGGGGAGCGUUCUGUAAGCCUGUGAAGGUGUGUCGUGAGGCAUGCUGGAGGUAUCAGAAGUGCGAAUGCUGACAUAAGUAACGAUAAAGCGGGUGAAAAGCCCGCUCGCCGGAAGACCAAGGGUUCCUGUCCAACGUUAAUCGGGGCAGGGUGAGUCGACCCCUAAGGCGAGGCCGAAAGGCGUAGUCGAUGGGAAACGGGUUAAUAUUCCCGUACUUGGUGUUACUGCGAAGGGGGGACGGAGAAGGCUAUGUUGGCCGGGCGACGGUUGUCCCGGUUUAAGCGUGUAGGUGUGUGUUCCAGGUAAAUCCGGUUCACUUUAACACUGAGGCGUGACGACGAGGCACUACGGUGCUGAAGCAACAAAUGCCCUGCUUCCAGGAAAAGCCUCUAAGCAUCAGGUAACAUCAAAUCGUACCCCAAACCGACACAGGUGGUCAGGUAGAGAAUACCAAGGCGCUUGAGAGAACUCGGGUGAAGGAACUAGGCAAAAUGGUGCCGUAACUUCGGGAGAAGGCACGCUGACACGUAGGUGAAGUGAUUUACUCAUGGAGCUGAAGUCAGUCGAAGAUACCAGCUGGCUGCAACUGUUUAUUAAAAACACAGCACUGUGCAAACACGAAAGUGGACGUAUACGGUGUGACGCCUGCCCGGUGCCGGAAGGUUAAUUGAUGGGGUCAGCG
This 1966-nucleotide ribosomal RNA is filed under the name Salmonella enterica subsp. enterica serovar Typhimurium. RNAcentral describes it as "partial 23S ribosomal RNA". It matches the Rfam family "Bacterial large subunit ribosomal RNA", at positions 1 to 1895 of the family's 2925-position model. Lineage: Bacteria; Pseudomonadati; Pseudomonadota; Gammaproteobacteria; Enterobacterales; Enterobacteriaceae. The record is from RNAcentral.